This 47-nucleotide non-coding RNA is filed under the name Palpitomonas bilix. The record is from RNAcentral.
AGAAUUGGAAGCAAAACACAACAUUGUGCUUCACUCCCACACAGUAU